Non-coding RNA from Pseudonaja textilis, 174 nucleotides. Lineage: Eukaryota; Metazoa; Chordata; Lepidosauria; Squamata; Elapidae. The record is from RefSeq and is a predicted model, not a curated record.
AGAUGCAGGAUGAAGACUUGAAAUGGGUUGAAGAAAACAUUCCCUCUUCCAUGGCUGACGUGAUGUUGCCCCCACUGCUGGACUCCGAUGAGGAAAUAGUGACCACAAAGUUUGAAAUGUCCAAGAUGGAAUAAAAUUGGCAUCCUGGCCGGUUGCUUUGACCGCUCUCGCUGA